Molecule: ribosomal RNA, 507 nt
Filed under: uncultured bacterium
Lineage: Bacteria
Description: bacterial SSU rRNA
Rfam family: Bacterial small subunit ribosomal RNA
Source: RNAcentral
AGUGAACGCUGGCGGCGUGCUUAACACAUGCAAGUCGAACGCGAAAGGGUAGCAAUAUCCGAGUAGAGUGGCGAACGGGUGAGUAAAGUGUGGGUAAUUUGCCUUCCAGAGGGGGAUAACUCGGCGAAAGCUGAGCUAAAACCGCGUAACAUUUGAUUGAUUACGGUCGAUUAAAUCAAAACAUGGCCUCUAUUUAUAAGCUAUGGCUGGGAGAUGAGCCCACAUCCUAUCACGCUUGUUGGUGGGGUAACGGCCUACCAAGGCGACGACGGGUAGCCGGCCUGAGAGGGUGUCCGGCCACACUGGAACUGAGACACGGUCCAGACUCCUACGGGAGGCAGCAGUGGGGAAUUUUUCGCAAUGGGCGCAAGCCUGACGAAGCAACGCCGCGUGGAGGAUGACGGCCCUCGCGGUCUUAAACUCCUGUCUAGCGGGACGAAUGUUUCCAAGGUGAAUAAUCUUGGGAAGUGACUGUACCGCUGGAGGAAGCUCCGGCCAACUCCGUGC